RNAcentral lists this ribosomal RNA (497 nucleotides) under uncultured bacterium. RNAcentral's name for it is "partial 16S ribosomal RNA". It matches the Rfam family "Bacterial small subunit ribosomal RNA", at positions 28 to 507 of the family's 1533-position model. The record is from RNAcentral.
GAUGAACGCUGGCGGCGUGCCUAAUACAUGCAAGUCGAGCGAACAGAUGAGGAGCUUGCUCCUCUGACGUUAGCGGCGGAUGGGUGAGUAACACGUGGAUAACCUACCUUUAAGACUGGGAUAACUUCGGGAAACCGGAGCUAAUACCGGAUAAUAUAUUGAACCGCAUGGUUCAAUAGUGAAAGACGGUUUUGCUGUCACUUAUAGAUGGAUCCGCGCCGCAUUAGCUAGUUGGUAAGGUAACGGCUUACCAAGGCAACGAUGCGUAGCCGACCUGAGAGGGUGAUCGGCCACACUGGAACUGAGACACGGGCCAGACUCCUACGGGAGGCAGCAGUAGGGGAUCUUCCGCGAUGGGCGAAAGCCUGACGGAGCAACGCCGCGUGAGUGAUGAAGGUCUUCGGAUCGGAAAACUCUGUUAUUAGGGAAGAACAAAUGUGUAAGUAACUAUGCACGUCUUGACGGUACCUAAUCAGAAAGCCACGGCUAACUACGUG